AAUCAAACUUGGAGAUAGCUCGUACUCCCCGAAAUGCAUUUAGGUGCAGCCUUGACUUAUACUGGCAUGAGGUAGAGCGACUGAUAAGAUGCGAGGGCUUCACCGCCUAUCAAGUCUUGACAAACUCCGAAUGCGUGUCAGUUCUAUGUCAGGAGUGAGGGCAUGGGUGCUAAGGUCCAUGUCCUAAAGGAGAACAAUCCGGACCAACAGCUAAGGUCCCAAAAUGAAUACUAAGUUGAACUAACGAAGUCAGAUUGCUAAGACAGCUAGGAUGUUGGCUUGGAAGCAGCCAUUCAUUUAAAGAGUGCGUAACAGCUCACUAGUCGAGGAGUCGGGCGUGGAUAAUAAUCGGGUAUUAAGUUGUCUACCGAAGCAGUGGGAUCAUUUAUAUGAUCGGUAGGGGAGCAUUCCAGUCAGCGUCGAAGGCGUACCGUGAGGUAUUCUGGAGCGUCUGGAAAAGCAAAUGUAGGUAUAAGUAACGAUAAAGGGGGCGGGAAACCCCCUCGCCGAAAGACUAAGGUUUCCUGAUCAACGCUAAUCGGAUCAGGGUCAGUCGGGUCCUAAGGCUCAGCCGAACGGCGAUGCCGAUGGCAGAAACGGUUAAUAUUCCGUUACUACCUUCAGGAGUGACGUGGAGACGCAGUAGUGACAGUGCCGCCAUCUGACGGAAUAGAUGGUUGAAGGGUGUAGGAGUCGAUCAUGGCAGGCAAAUCCACCAUGAGAUCCGAACCUGACAGUAUGCCGCGUCCUUCGGGACAAGGCAAUAGUGCGCGUAAGCAUGCUGCCGAGAAAAUCCGCUAAACUUAAUCCUGUAGGUACCCGUACCGCAAACGGACACACGUAGUCGGGAUGAAUAUUCUAAGGCGCUUGAGUGAUUCACGGUUAAGGAACUAGGCAAACUGACCCUGUAACUUCGGGAUAAAGGGUCCCUACCCUUUUAUGGGAGGGCGCAGAGAAUCGGUCCAGGCAACUGUUUAACAAAAACACAGGGCUGUGCCAAAUCGAAAGAUCCAGUAUACAGCCUGACACCUGCCCGGUGCUGGAAGGUUAAGAGGAGAUGUCAUCGAUGAGAGAAGCGUUGAAUUGAAGCCCCAGUAAACGGCGGCCGUAACUAUAACGGUCCUAAGGUAGCGAAAUUCCUUGUCGGGUAAGUUCCGACCUGCACGAAUGGUGUAAUGAUCUGGACGCUGUCUCAACCGUGAGCUCAGUGAAAUUGUAGUAUCGGUGAAGAUGCCGAUUACCCGCGAUGGGACGAAAAGACCCCGUGAACCUUUACUAUAGCUUAACAUUGAAUUUGGGUAAUUGAUGUGUAGGAUAGGCCGGAGGCUUCGAAGCAGGUACGCCAGUAUUUGUGGAGCCGCUGUUGAAAUACGGCCCUUUGAUUAUUUGAGUUCUAACCCGCUGCUGCGGGGACACUGUUUGGUGGGUAGUUUGACUGGGGUGGUCGCCUCCAAAAGCGUAACGGAGGCUUCUAAAGGUGCCCUCCGGCCGAUUGGUAACCGGCCUUAGAGUGUAAUGGCAUAAGGGCGCUUGACUGGGAGACUAACAAGUCGAUCAGGUAGGAAACUAGAGCAUAGUGAUCCGGUGUUUCUGUAUGGAAAGGACAUCGCUCAAAGGAUAAAAGGUACUCCGGGGAUAACAGGCUGAUCCCUCCCAAGAGCUCAUAUCGACGGAGGGGUUUGGCACCUCGAUGUCGGCUCGUCACAUCCUGGGGCUGGAGAAGGUCCCAAGGGUUGGGCUGUUCGCCCAUUAAAGUGGCACGCGAGCUGGGUUCAGAACGUCGUGAGACAGUUCGGUCUCUAUCUAUCGUGGGCGUAUGAAAUUUGCGUGGCUCUGACACUAGUACGAGAGGACCGUGUUGGA
Molecule: ribosomal RNA, 1863 nt
Filed under: human gut metagenome
Description: bacterial LSU rRNA
Rfam family: Bacterial large subunit ribosomal RNA
Source: RNAcentral